Long non-coding RNA from Rhinopithecus bieti (black snub-nosed monkey), 278 nucleotides. Lineage: Eukaryota; Metazoa; Chordata; Mammalia; Primates; Cercopithecidae. The record is from Ensembl.
GGGAUGGGUUGAGCACCUCUUCAUACUAGCUCAUUCUUGCUGAUGCCAUCUUGCCAUUGUUGGUCUAUGAUGGUUUUUGUUGGUGGCACCAUGAAACUAUUCAAGACACCAGAUAUUAUUUCUUUCAUUGGUUGAAGAAGCUAUGUCUCCACCUGCAUAGAAGAUUUCUUAGAGUCAAAGUUGCAUUUGCCACACAGAACGGCUGUUGUUUCUCCCAUCUUUCUUAUCAGACCAAAAUACAUGUUUCAGAGUCACAAGAAGAAAUGGUGAUGCCUGAC